AGUCAAUAGAUACCCGGGUAGUCCACGCCGUAAACGAUGAAUACUAGGUGUAGGAGGUAUCGACUCCUUCUGUGCCGCAGUUAAACACAAUAAGUAUUCCGCCUGGGGAGUACGGUCGCAAGAUUAAAACUCAAAGGAAUUGACGGGGGCCCGGCACAAGCAGCGGAGCAUGUGGUUUAAGUUUACGAAGCAACGCGAAGAACCUUACCUAGACUUGACAUCUUCUGCAUUAAUCGUAAUGGAUGAAAUACCCUUCGGGGUACGAGAAUGACAGGUGGUGCAUGGUUGUCGUCAGCUCGUGUCGUGAGAUGUUGGGUUAAGUCCCGCAACGAGCGCAACCCUACUUAUUAGUUGCUAACAUUAAGUUGAGCACUCUAGUGAGACUGCCCGGGUUAACCCGGGUAGGAAGGUGGGGUAGUGAGGUCAAAUCAUCAUGCCCCGUUACUGUCUAGGGCUACACACGUGCUACAAUGGUGGGAACAAAGAGAUGCAAUACCGCAAGGUGGAGCUAAACCUCAAAACCCCGACUCCAGUUCGGAUUGUAGGCUGAAACUCG
This 556-nucleotide ribosomal RNA is filed under the name uncultured bacterium. RNAcentral's name for it is "bacterial SSU rRNA". It matches the Rfam family "Bacterial small subunit ribosomal RNA", at positions 775 to 1314 of the family's 1533-position model. The record is from RNAcentral.